Long non-coding RNA from Alligator mississippiensis (American alligator), 4244 nucleotides. RefSeq lists it as uncharacterized. The transcript has 2 exons. The record is from RefSeq and is a predicted model, not a curated record. NCBI's taxonomy places the organism in Eukaryota, Metazoa, Chordata, Crocodylia, Alligatoridae.
UGAUCUCAUGUUGCGGGCUUUAAACUAGCUUCACUGGGGGAAGGGGCUGCUUUGAGUGAAGAGGAUACUUCACCAGCACGCAGGGUGACGAGAGGAAGGGAAGAACAGGUUUAAGGGACAUCUGUUUCUAUGUUUGCUAGUAGUAAUAAAAGAAAGGAGAAUGAAUGAAUGGUGAGAUAGGGAUCCAUGCAUUCAGUCCACUCGGAUCUGAACCUGAUACCUUCCACAUCCAGACCGGGGUCAAACAAAGUUGUGUGAUCGUCCCCACCUUGUUUACCAUCUACCUGACCAUCAUCAUCCACCUCAUCCAAGAUGAUCUACCAUCUGGCGUCCGUAUCCAGUAUCGACUGGAUGGGAAGCUUUUUCAUCUUGGGCACUUCUGGGCAUAAAUGAAGCUCACCACCAAGGACACCCACAACCUUAAGUUUGCUUCUGAUUGCUGCUUGAUGGCUGACUCUGCACAGGAUAUGCAAGCGACCCUAGAGCUCUUCAACACUUUGUACAAGAGACUUGGCCUGUCCCUGAAUGCUGCCAAGAUGAAGCUUCUCCAAAAACCCUUCCUAGGCCUGCUGGAGAACUGAACAUCCCUUGCACUAUCUAUAUAGACGAGGAGGCUCCGCAGUACGUGGAGCACCUUCCAUAUCUCAGCAGCCACCUCCCUCAAUGGGCUACCAUCAAUAAAGAAGUCCAGCACCAGGUCAGCUGCUCAAGGGGUUCUGCCUUCAAGCUGUGACAAUGUGUCUUCAAAAAUAGGGACCUUGGGAAGUCGAUGAAGGUCCUGGUUUUUAAGGCUGUUGUGCUGACCACCCUCCACUACUGCAGUGAAACCUGGACCAUCUACCCAUACCUCAUUAAGGCCCUCGAGAGUUUUGACCGGUGGUGCUUGCAUCGAAUCCUGGGGACCAAAUAGGAGGACUGCCAGACCAGCAUGUGCAUCCUCCAUGAAGCUGCAUCAACCAACAUCAAAGCCUUGCUCUUGAGAAAUCAACUCCAAUGAAUAGGCCACUGAGUCUGGAUGUCCAAGAACCACCUCUUUCUCACCAGAUUCUCUUCUCCCAGCUCUCCAUUGGCCAAUGCUCAAAGGGAUGCCAAAGGAAACAGUACAAAGACAAACUCAAGGUUACGCGCAAGCACCGGGGCAUAGACACCAAUGGCUGGGAGGAGCAAGCUGCUGACCAUUCAGCAUGGCACCACCUGGUCCACCAAGGUGUCUGCCACUUUGAGGCACAAUGACAUGAUAGUGAGGUGGAACGGUGGUGGUGGAGGAAGCAGAAGAGGCCAACUCAGUACUCCGAAUCCCACUCCCCCGUGCAACAACAUGCCCCCUUUGUCAAAGAACGUGUGCAUCUAGAAUCAGGCUCCUCAGUCACCUGAGGACCCAUCAAGCCUGAUGGAUGUCAUCCUCAACCUCGAGGGACCACCAAUGCAUGCAUUCAGUGCAGGUUUCCAGAGAGCUCAGCUCCCAUUUAUGUAUCAGAAAAGGGGAACAAUUUUUGGAAGAGCUCAGAUCUUUGGGUUCUGAGCACUGCUAGAAAAUCUGAGCAAGAGCUGAUCUGGCAAGGGGCAUGUGGGAUAAUUUUGUGUCAACAAAGGAAGAAUUUUGUGUGUGAAAGCAUCUAAUCAUUGAUCUUGUGUUGUUCUCUAUUGUUUUUCCUCCUUACGUCUCCAUUUUCAUAUAAUGUCAACCAUAAUGAUAGUCCCUAGGGAGAGGGUACUUUUCCUUUCUUGCAAUGGUGAGAGCAGCACUGCCAGGGACCGGAUGAGAGUUCUUAUUGCUCAGCACUAAUUGCUGCUCACAGGCAGUCUAGGAAAAAUGUCUUUUCUGCCUGUUCAUCAGAAAGAAGUUUGGAGCCAGUGCUUGCAAGUGUCUUCGGUCAUUUUUAAGUAAACUUGCAAAGACAUGUUUUCCCCACAUGCACUUGACAGAGUGGGGUUUUUAAAGUGACCUUUUUUUUUUUUUUUUAAUGCUUAACCACUGGGAAUGAAUACAAGGGUAAUUAAAACUGCGAGCAUCUCUUUGCCCAGAAGAAUUACAGGCAUGGAAAUUGGGGUAAAACUGCACUUCAUAAAUUUAGUGGAUACAAAACAUCCUGGACUACAUAUAGGGUAUAAUGUGCCAUAAAUCCAAUGUCUGUUUGCUAUCUGGUUAACCUCAGGUAACCUCUGUACAUUUUACCAGCUAUUUUCUUAUCACCAGGUCAACACUCCUUUCCCCGCCAUGUACCUGUCUCACACCUGUUGUCUCCCAUAUCCUCUGUCCCUCACUGCAUUGUAUUUGCAUUUUCACAGACCUGGAUUUUGCAUAUUGGCCUCCUCUUCCAUUCCAGCAAAUCACUUUGGAACCAAGAGUUCUAGUUUGUUGCAUGUCUUCUAUUCCAUGCAGCUACUUCAGAGUCUAUGCCCUGCAAGACAUCAUAGUGAUAUCAUGACUGAAACCCCCCAGACUUUCAACUGGAAGUUGACAUUGAUAGCAAUGGAUUUACAGAUCAAAUUAAUAUUCUGAAACAUAAUUAACUCUAAUUGAAGUGAUCUAUAAUUCAGUUCAACCUGAGUGGAGCAUCCAUAAUAGUCUUUUCUUUUAACCUUCCAAUUUCCCUUUCCUUACAAAUGAUGUUAGUACUAGUGGAAUUUGAGGUAGGGGGAGGAGGAGGAAUAGCAGGGAAACAGCUUGUUCCACUUGUAUGGUAUAUUGAAUGUGUGACCUUUUUAACUUUUAUUUACAAUGAAGCCUACCGGCUAACCCCACACUGAAGCACCCUUAUGCCCCAGGCAGCCCGGCCACAGCAUGUUGAGCUGAGGGGAGCAGCCCUGGGCCUGCAGGCUGACCCCAGGGCCCCCCACCAUCCACGGCUCCUCCAAUCUGGCUCAACAUGCUGCAGUCCUGGGCAAACAUUCAAACAGCAUGUCUGGAAGCACUAAACUCUGAAGCAAUAAACUCCAGGGUUUAUCGCUUCACAUUAAUGUAGAUACACCCAACCGGUAGGUCUUUUCAUGCAGCUAGUUACUACUCUACAGAAGGGAAGGUGGCAGAAGGAGGGUUAACAUUUCUCUGUGAGCUAUUUGGUGAAUUCAAAAUCCUUGCUGCUUUUCUGCUCUAGGAAAUAAGGAAACCUCUUAGUCCCCCGUGGGCACACAGGUGCUUCAAGUGGCAGCACUAGGUUGGAAAGGACUUGGACUCCAACCUGCCAGUAGCAUAACUGAACUGCAAUGGAGAGGGGAAGCCUGGCAAGGGUUAUUUCUCCUGGCACAGCUUACCUUCCUCCUUGGAGACAGCAGGGGCUGUAUUGAGAUAGCACUAGUUGUCAUUGUCAGGACAAAACCAGCUAAUUAUCAUAUUUACUACGGUGGUCCCUAAAGCCCCAGACUGUAAUGAGGACCUUAUUGUGCUAGGCAGCUGUACACACAUAGUUUGAUACAGUCCCUGCCUUGAAGAAUUUACCUUCUAGAUGGGCAAUAAGGAAAAUAAUGUUUAUAGCCUCCCCAUAUUUAAUGUAUAGGAAACUGGAGCUCAGAUUGCUCAUGGGCACCUAUAGAAUCUCAUCUUAUUUUCUACAGUGAUCCAGGCCCAUAGCCUUUAAGUCUCUGGCUUUCACUGACACUUGAGCUUUCUAAGUGCCAACCUCAUUUGUGAUAGUACUUAGACUUCUGAAUCAGCACAUAGUUCCAGAAAGAAAUUAAUGAUGAGACUUGCCCAAGGUCACAUGUCAAAUCUGUGGCCGACCUAGGAGUAGAAGAUGUUACUUCUGAGCCUCUGCACGUUGCUUCAACACAAGGUCCAGCCUCUUUCCGCACCUUGGUAUACUUGCUUUUUCAAGAGUGCCUGUCAUUGUGGUUUCCAGUUUAUCUGCUGGUCUCCCAUCUCAAUAUCUCCCCUCCUCCCCCCUCAAAUAAAGCAUUUCAAGCAAGGCGGUGAAUUCCCUGUCCCUUCCAGUGAGUGAGCAAGCUCCUCAAUCUCACAUGGUAAGUGUGUGUAUUACAGCACACACUAAAGCAAAUCCUGUGAUCAACAGCUUCCAUUUGUUGCUUCACACUGUUACUUUAAUUUCACCUCAAACUUACAUGUCAAACUUUGUUAGCUUUACUUGCAUUGCCAUAGCAGAUGGAUGGCAGCCUUGGAAGGAUCUGUUUCUGCUUUUGUUUCUCAUUUAACAUAUAACUAUGUACAACAAGAAACAGAACCCACAACUGAACUAGGUUAUAGUUAAAGGGUUCAUAGUGGUGUGACUAAAUGAAUGGAAAAUCCA